UUAAAGGAAUUGACGGGACCCGCACAAGCGGUGAUGAUGUGGUUAAUUCGAUGCAACGCGAAAAACCUUACCUACCCUUGACAUGUCAAGAAUUUUGCAGAGAUGUGAAAGUGCUCGAAAGAGAACUUGAACACAGGUGCUGCAUGGCCGUCGUCAGCUCGUGUCGUGAGAUGUUGGGUUAAGUCCCGCAACGAGCGCAACCCUUGUCAUUAGUUGCUACCGCAAGGAGCACUCUAAUGAGACUGCCGGUGACAAACCGGAGGAAGGUGGGGAUGACGUCAGGUCCUCAUGGCCCUUAUGGGUAGGGCUACACACGUCAUACAAUGGCCGGUACAGAGGGCUGCCAACCCGCGAGGGGGAGCCAAUCCCAGAAAACCGGUCGUAGUCCGGAUUGAAGUCUGCAACUCGACUUCAUGAAGGCGGAAUCGCUAGUAACCGCGAAUCAGCAGGUCGCGGUGAAUACGUUCCCGGGCCUU
This 476-nucleotide ribosomal RNA is filed under the name uncultured Aquabacterium sp. RNAcentral's name for it is "bacterial SSU rRNA". It matches the Rfam family "Bacterial small subunit ribosomal RNA", at positions 901 to 1382 of the family's 1533-position model. The record is from RNAcentral. Lineage: Bacteria; Pseudomonadati; Pseudomonadota; Betaproteobacteria; Burkholderiales; Sphaerotilaceae.